RNAcentral lists this long non-coding RNA (237 nucleotides) under Homo sapiens (human). RNAcentral's name for it is "HSALNT0100506". Lineage: Eukaryota; Metazoa; Chordata; Mammalia; Primates; Hominidae. The record is from RNAcentral.
GCCCAGCAGCCCCCCUCCCACCCCAGGGGCACGCCCCACCUUUACUCAGGCCAGAGAUGGUUGAAAAGCAGCAAGACCUCGGGAGGGCACAAGAGGGCUGAGGAGGCAAGAAACUUCACUAGGACGCCCCCGCAGCAGGGAUUGGGGGGGCCAGCUGCCAGCCCUCUUGGCUGGUCCUGGCCUCCCUUCCUCCCACAGUUCCGUCUCUGCUGUUGUCUCCAACAGGCAGGGUCUGAU